This 76-nucleotide transfer RNA is filed under the name Acidobacteria bacterium 13_1_20CM_3_58_11. RNAcentral describes it as "tRNA-Val". It matches the Rfam family "tRNA". From Rfam's summary of the family: Transfer RNA (tRNA) molecules are approximately 80 nucleotides in length. RNAcentral also lists the same sequence under 2 other names. Lineage: Bacteria; Pseudomonadati; Acidobacteriota. The record is from RNAcentral.
GGGUGCUUAGCUCAGCUGGUAGAGCGUCGUCCUUACAAGGCGAAUGUCGGCGGUUCGAGCCCGUCAGCACCCACCA